This 353-nucleotide ribosomal RNA is filed under the name Micrococcus luteus. RNAcentral's name for it is "bacterial SSU rRNA". It matches the Rfam family "Bacterial small subunit ribosomal RNA", at positions 28 to 381 of the family's 1533-position model. The record is from RNAcentral. Lineage: Bacteria; Bacillati; Actinomycetota; Actinomycetes; Micrococcales; Micrococcaceae.
GAUGAACGCUGGCGGCGUGCUUAACACACGCAAGUCGAACGAUGAAGCCCAGCUUGCUGGGCGGAUUAGUGGCGAACGGGUGAGUAACACGUGAGUAACCUGCCCUUGACUCUGGGAUAAGCCCGGGAAACUGGGUCUAAUACCGGAUAGGAGCGCCUGUCGCAUGACGGGUGCUGGAAAGAUCUUUCGGUCAUGGAUGGACUCGCGGCCUAUCAGCUUGUUGGUGAGGUAACGGCUCACCAAGGCGACGACGGGUAGCCGGCCUGAGAGGGUGACCGGCCACACUGGGACUGAGACACGGCCCAGACUCCUACGGGAGGCAGCAGUGGGGAAUAUUGCACAAUGGGCGAAAG